This 692-nucleotide ribosomal RNA is filed under the name uncultured Pseudomonadota bacterium. RNAcentral's name for it is "bacterial SSU rRNA". It matches the Rfam family "Bacterial small subunit ribosomal RNA", at positions 69 to 753 of the family's 1533-position model. The record is from RNAcentral. Lineage: Bacteria; Pseudomonadati; Pseudomonadota.
GUAACAGGAAGCAGCUUGCUGCUUCGCUGACGAGUGGCGGGCGGGUGAGUAAUGUCUGGGAAGCUGCCUGAUGGAGGGGGAUAACUACUGGAAACGGUAGCUAAUACCGCAUAAUGUCGCAAGACCAAAGAGGGGGACCUUCGGGCCUCUUGCCAUCGGAUGUGCCCAGAUGGGAUUAGCUUGUUGGUGGGGUAACGGCUCACCAAGGCGACGAUCCCUAGCUGGUCUGAGAGGAUGACCAGCCACACUGGAACUGAGACACGGUCCAGACUCCUACGGGAGGCAGCAGUGGGGAAUAUUGCACAAUGGGCGCAAGCCUGAUGCAGCCAUGCCGCGUGUAUGAAGAAGGCCUUCGGGUUGUAAAGUACUUUCAGCGGGGAGGAAGGGAGUAAAGUUAAUACCUUUGCUCAUUGACGUUACCCGCAGAAGAAGCACCGGCUAACUCCGUGCCAGCAGCCGCGGUAAUACGGAGGGUGCAAGCGUUAAUCGGAAUUACUGGGCGUAAAGCGCACGCAGGCGGUUUGUUAAGUCAGAUGUGAAAUCCCCGGGCUCAACCUGGGAACUGCAUCUGAUACUGGCAAGCUUGAGUCUCGUAGAGGGGGGUAGAAUUCCAGGUGUAGCGGUGAAAUGCGUAGAGAUCUGGAGGAUACCGGUGGCGAAGCGGCCCCUGGACGAAGACUGACGCUCAGGUG